CCGUGUGCAGUGUAAGUACAAACUAAUAAUUACAGCUCGGGAAGUUUGAGUUAAUAUCUAAAUUAAAAUUGUCCACAGUUUCAUUUCGCUCCGGGGGAUGUUUACUUUGCUUCUAGCAAGGGGAAAAUCAUAAAGCGGCGAAUGGCAAUUCCAGUGUACGAAUUUGUUCCGCAGAUUGCCGACUUCGCUCUCGAGAACGAUGAUAUACCGGAUUUGAACUCUACCCUCGAAACAUCUGACACAACACUGAAUUCAAAUGCAUUCUCCCAAAAUAUGGUUCCAAUUUUUUGCUCCCCAUAUGAUGAACAUAAAGCUGUAUGCGCAAGCACAAAAAGGAAAUACGAUGGCUACGUAGAUAACCUGAACCAGGAAGUGAGAGAUUUGAAGAAACGUUGUCAUCACCUUGAGAACGUAGUGAAGCAACAGGAGCACGUCAUGCAAAAACAACAAAAGACCUCAGAUCUAGCUCUCAAUGCACUCAACAGAACAUUUAACUCCGACCAAGUGGACAUGCUGUUGUACGAGAAAAAGCGUCCAAAGCAGUGGAGUGACAAAACAGUCACUGAAAGUCUGCAAACAAAAUUUGUUUGCGGAUCGAAAGGAUACGAGCACCAGAGAACUAAAUAUCCCCUCUCCAACGAAGAGUAGAGGACUUGGAAUUCAAGCCAGGUAUUCUGUACGACGUACUAGAGCUCCUCAAACUCAAAGUGAACACCAUGUUGCCCGAAGAUCUUGACUGCGGCCUAAUUUUUGAUGAGAUGUCCAUCGAAGAGGCAAGAAGUUUUUGCAUUU
Long non-coding RNA from Aedes aegypti (yellow fever mosquito), 792 nucleotides. RefSeq lists it as uncharacterized. The record is from RefSeq and is a predicted model, not a curated record. Lineage: Eukaryota; Metazoa; Arthropoda; Insecta; Diptera; Culicidae. The transcript has 2 exons.